This 1186-nucleotide long non-coding RNA is filed under the name Eutrema salsugineum. Its description in RNAcentral is "long non-coding RNA (ESAL_LNC000001)". The record is from RNAcentral. Lineage: Eukaryota; Viridiplantae; Streptophyta; Magnoliopsida; Brassicales; Brassicaceae.
AUAUUCAGUUCCUCUGUAACACCCCGGUCAUGGGUUCCAAAGGAAACCAGACUAAACCGGCAGUAUUAUCUAACCUAACCAAUAAUUCCUGAAUAAUCCUUAAAUCUUAUUCCAAAUCAAACCAAAUCCAGUCUUACAAUAGAAAUGAAUAACUUGAAUAAAUCCGAAAAUAAUCAUAAAACAAUAUCUUAAAAGAAAAUACAAAAAAAAAGUUCCUAAAGCGAUAAAAAUCUUCCUCCAUCUCUAAAAGCACACCACACUAGAGCUACUCGUCUAGUUCCUCCCAGACAUCAUCACAAUCACAUUCAUCACACUCACCUGAAAGACGGAUUUAUAAGAGAGGGGUGAGUAAUUUGGGGAAAUUACUCAGUGAGAACCAAACCAGACUCCCUUCCCACUCAUUUAUUUUCCACCAACAUGUCAAGAAUAAAUCCAACAAGCAACACACAAGCAUCCUAGCGAUGCACAAACAACUAGCCGGCAAUGAUGUCUCCAACCCGCCUAUCACACAAGGCCACACCUCCCAGUCACACAGCUUCACAAUAUUUAGUUGCUCUGUAACACGCCGGUCCUGGGUUCCAAAGGAAACCAGACUAAACCGGCAGUAUUAUGUAACCUAACCAAUAAUUCCUGAAUAAUCCUUAAAUCUUAUUUCAAAUCAAGCCAAAUCCAGUCUUACAAUAGAAAUGAAUAACUUGAAUAAAUCCGAAAAUAAUCAGAAAACAAUAUCUUAAAAGAAAAUACAAAAAAAAGUUCUUAAAGCGAUAAAAAUCUUCCUCCCUCUCUAAAAGCACACCACACUAGAGCUACUGGACUAGUUCCUCCCAGUCAGCAUCACAAUCACAUUCAUCACACUCACCUGAAAUAUGGAUUUAUAAGAGAGGGGUGAGUAAUUUGGGGAAAUUACUCAGUGGGAACCAAACCAGACUACCUUCCCACUCAUUUAUUUUCCACCAACAUGUCAAGAAUAAAUCCAACAAGCAACACACAAGCAUCCUAGCGAUGCACAAACAACUAGCCAGCAAUGAUGUCUCCAACCCGCCUAUCACACAAGGCCACACCUCCCAGUCACACAGCUUCACAAUAUUUAGUUCCUCUGUAACACCCCGGUCCUGGUUUCCAAAGGAAACCAGACUAAACCGGCAGUAUUAUCUAGACUAAACCGGCAGUAUUAUCUAACCUAACC